UACAACUGCUGAGUCUGAGCUCUGAUCUGAAUGGCCUCUAUCAGUGUGAAGCGCCUAACACAUAUGGAAGUAAACACGGUCAGCUCUAUGUGCAUGUGGCAUCAGGAGCAUGCUCUGCUGCUUGGGCCUUAUUUGGUGUUUUGCUUUUCCUGAAUGUUGUUGGGGCUGCAGCAUGGUACUUUUAUAAAAAUGGAUGUUCUCAAAGGAGGUCUUUAAAUCAACAUGGUGGCAAGCAGCAUGACACAAAACUUCACCGGAGUGUGAGAAACGAUGAUCACGGACCAGAGGAAGAAGAUCUACAGAGAGAUCAAGAGGAAUCUCUCUGACAGCAAAGAUGAACAUUAUUUGGACUGAAGGCUCCACCAACAUGUCAUUCUAAAGUCAGCUGGUAAAUAAACAGAUGAAGAACAGAUGCCUCUGCCUGAACUGGACAUUAUACGUGUUACGUGAACCUGCAACAGGGUCUGGACCACAGACAGAUUAACAUAAAAGCACGGGAUGUCACACAAACACAGGAACAUGACCGCAGGAACAAAGGGUAACAAAACA
Long non-coding RNA from Oreochromis aureus, 549 nucleotides. RefSeq lists it as uncharacterized. The transcript has 4 exons. NCBI's taxonomy places the organism in Eukaryota, Metazoa, Chordata, Actinopteri, Cichliformes, Cichlidae. The record is from RefSeq and is a predicted model, not a curated record.